UCAUAUUGUGAUUCCUUCUAUGAGGCUGC
This 29-nucleotide non-coding RNA is filed under the name Mus musculus (house mouse). The record is from RNAcentral. Lineage: Eukaryota; Metazoa; Chordata; Mammalia; Rodentia; Muridae.